Polypterus senegalus (gray bichir) is the source of this 1139-nucleotide long non-coding RNA. RefSeq lists it as uncharacterized. The record is from RefSeq and is a predicted model, not a curated record. The transcript has 3 exons. Lineage: Eukaryota; Metazoa; Chordata; Cladistia; Polypteriformes; Polypteridae.
UUACCCGAUCUGCGUGCGCAGGCAUAGACAUAGACUAACUAGACGCCUCAUGACAAGCAGAAUUGUACGUCAACGUCUCCGCCAUAUUGCGAGUGGCACUGCUGUGGAGUGAAGUAAUGGAUAAGAUGCCUCAUACAUGUUAUGCUUGGGAUUUUACAAACCGCUGUACGCUCCAAACCAGAUCCCCGGGGAUUACAUUUCAAAGGUGGUUUCCCAAGAAGCCAGGCAUCCAGUGCAUCUCCCUCUAGGGACUUCCCCCAGCACUAUAAAGGAUGAGCAGACAGGCAGUGAAUGCGCUGAUUCCUGCUGAGACAUAUUGCGAUGAGGAGUGCUGGGCGGGGCCGAGCCGAGAGCGAGCACGCAGGGGUCACGGAAAGUUCAGCAAAACAGCGGCGCAGCGGUGUCGGCGCGAAAGUUCCAGCUCCUUCGCUACGCAGUGAGUCAAUAAACGAUGAUAUUUGUACAGAGCUCUUAAACUGCAUGGAAAAUGAAAGUAAAAUUACUAAGUAAACUGAACAAAGACAAAAAACAGCAAAAUAGUCUCCAUCUGAGCUGUCCUUGACUAGUAGCGUUUAAAGGGUUCAGCGUUUUAGGUAUAACGAUGACAAGUACUUAAGGAACAGUUCUUUGCUUAGCCCCGGGCUUGACACGAUCAGGCAUUAGAAAUCCGUCCUUUAACUAUUCUGUCCCCGAACGCCGUAUUAGUGAGGCUUCUCUCCCAAGACCAAAUCUGUACGGAGUGUGCGUCGCCCAACUGGUUGUAGUGAACGUGGACAGAUAGUUUACUCACCAAGAAGUCAAGGCUGAGAGUCCUUAUACUUUAAUGUAGACUUUUGCCAUAAGUAAUACAAGUAUUAGGACGUAAAACCAUUGAUAACUUUAAGGUAAAAGGACAAUAAUUUCCUUAACCUAAAUACAAUAUGGUGGUAACUAGCGAUGGGCCGUUCGAUACUCAAGUUUCGACACUGUGUCGAGCUAUCGAAGCACCGCUUCAAAGCUUGCUUCAAAUGCGCCCGUCACGUGAUUUUGAGCACGCUAGCGUAAUGACGUCAUUGAUAUCUGCGCAGUCAACAGUCGGUCUGGUUAGUAACUAGUCUGCUGAAGUGCUUUGGCUCAAAGCGUAAAAGCGGUUGUCUGUG